This 461-nucleotide unclassified non-coding RNA is filed under the name uncultured Tomentellopsis. Its description in RNAcentral is "sequence contains ITS2". The stretch from base 1 to 154 matches the Rfam family "5.8S ribosomal RNA". Lineage: Eukaryota; Fungi; Basidiomycota; Agaricomycetes; Thelephorales; Thelephoraceae. The record is from RNAcentral.
AACUUUUGGCAACGGAUCUCUUGGCUCUCGCAUCGAUGAAGAACGCAGCGAAAUGCUAUAAGUAAUUUGAAUUGCAGAAUUCAGUGAAUCAUCGAAUCUUUGAACGCACCUUGCGCUCCUUGGUAUUCCGAGGAGCAUGCCUGUUUGAGUGUCAUGAAAUUCUCAACUGCUCCGAGCUUUGUUGUUCGGGGUGAAGUUGGACUUUGGAGGUCCUUGCUGGCGUUGGCUUCGGCUUACUUGUCGGCUCCUCUUGAAUGCAUGAGCUUUCCAGUGGAUCUUGGCAAAGUAUCGUCGAUGUGAUAAUUAUCUACGUCGGUCGAGAAAGCCUCGAGCAGGGCUCUUAGGAGCUCCUACGGGAAAUCUUUCAUAUACAUCGGGCUUCAAACCACCGUGUCUGACAAAUUCGACCUCAAAUCAGGUAGGACUACCCGCUGAACUUAAGCAUAUCAAUAAGCGGAGGC